This 220-nucleotide non-coding RNA is filed under the name Massilia sp. The record is from RNAcentral. Lineage: Bacteria; Pseudomonadati; Pseudomonadota; Betaproteobacteria; Burkholderiales; Oxalobacteraceae.
GUAUAAUGCCCACCGUUUGGUGCCCGGGCGCGAACUCUCGCGCCCAGUUAAACGGGAAACACAAGCCGCAUCGCGGCCAAGGUGUGCUGCCCCCGCAACGGUAAGCAAGCGCCGUCUUCCGACGGCAGGCCCUCUCUCAACAACCACUGUGCAUCUGGCAUGGGAAGGUGGGAUGGUCCGACUUGCCAGCCCGGAUACCGGCCAGACAGGUGGAAGCGCG